CAGCAGCCGCGGUAAUACGUAGGGUGCGAGCGUUAAUCGGAAUUACUGGGCGUAAAGCGUGCGCAGGCGGUUAUAUAAGACAGAUGUGAAAUCCCCGGGCUCAACCUGGGACCUGCAUUUGUGACUGUAUAGCUAGAGUACGGUAGAGGGGGGUGGAAUUCCGCGUGUAGCAGUGAAAUGCGUAGAUAUGCGGAGGAACACCGAUGGCGAAGGCAAUCCCCUGGACCUGUACUGACGCUCAUGCACGAAAGCGUGGGGAGCAAACAGGAUUAGAUACCCCCGUAGUCCCUGUCUCUUAUAC
This 301-nucleotide ribosomal RNA is filed under the name uncultured bacterium. RNAcentral's name for it is "partial 16S ribosomal RNA". It matches the Rfam family "Bacterial small subunit ribosomal RNA", at positions 509 to 807 of the family's 1533-position model. The record is from RNAcentral.